CGUGCUGGUCAUUCCCUGAAACGGUGAGCUUCAUCCUUCCUUCUUAAACGCUGCGUUGCGAGUUCCCUUUAAAAUCCCUAACUCUUCACUUCACUUUUUACUUCCAUAUU
Juglans microcarpa x Juglans regia is the source of this 110-nucleotide long non-coding RNA. RefSeq lists it as uncharacterized. The transcript is spliced from 3 exons. The record is from RefSeq and is a predicted model, not a curated record. Lineage: Eukaryota; Viridiplantae; Streptophyta; Magnoliopsida; Fagales; Juglandaceae.